CUGUAAUGAGGAUUCCUCAAGUGAAGACAGUGUAGUGCAAGUAAAAUUUACCUCUCACAGUCAACAUGAUGAGAAUGACACUUUGGUGGGUCAUUUAUUUGCAUAUCUCCUAACAUAAAUAUAACAUUUAAUUGUAGCUCAUUUUGACUCCUGCUUUCUGUUCUCUACACAGAUAUGGGAUAGUGCGGAUGAAGCAGGAAGCAGCUCACACCAGUAUUACCUUAGUAAAGUUAAGAGGACAUUUUCUGAAGUGCAAGUGUUGCACAAAAUAAUCUUUGGUUGUUCUUUUUUUAGACCACCUGAUCACUCUUUGCCUGUUCAGGAACAAGAAGCAGGAAAAAUCAGAACCAACAUACAAGAACAUGUACGUGACCAACAAAAAUGCUACACUAAUUACACACGUCUGUAUGCACCAAUAGUGAUUGAAAGUGAUUCAGAAGGGUCAGACCAGAGUACACAACAUGUUGAAGAGGAAUGGAUGUAAUUUAUUAAUUAUGUUGUUUCUAAAUUAUUCACUCCAUUUUUAUAGCAUCAUGAUUGAUUGGCUUAAUCGAAAUCUGUGUUUUACAGCUCAGAUGCAAUCUCUGCUGCAGACAUUGUGUCAGAUCUCUCACAGAAGAUCAUAAGGACGUCUUGCAGUAGAUUCAACAUAAAUCGAGCAAAUAUUUGGGAUGGAGCAGUUCGUGGUUUUAAACGUGCAUCAUAUGAUCCAUUGCAUGACAUGCUUGUCAAAUUCACAGGUGAUGAAGGCUCAACUGAAGAUGCAGUUGACACAGGUGGUCCAAAACGUGAGUUUCUAACCCUCCUAAUAGACUGUUUAAAAGCACGGCGAAUUUUUGAUGGACCAGAAAACGGGAGAUUUCUCACCUUUAAUAAUGCAGGUAAAUUAUUUACUUCAAGCUUGUAACUGCUUAAUAAUUUACAUUACUGUCUUUUUUCACUUAGUCUAGAAAAAAUAUAUUUUCCUGUAGCUUUCAGAGAAGAUGAGUACUUCCUUGCUGGCCGGAUGAUUGCAGUCUCUAUUGUACAUGGUGGUCCAGGUCCUCGCUUUUUAUCGAACAUGCUGUAUGAUUACCUCAUUGGUAGGACUGACAUUAAUGGAACAGUUGAGGAUGUAACAGAUGAAACCAUGAAGGCAGCUUUAAUUGAGAUAUCAAGUGCAGAAUCACUAGAUGAAUUGCACGCACUGAUUGAGAAGUAUGAAAGCUUGCUGCAGACUGCUGGGUGUUUUGAUUUCCCACAAAGUGUAAAAGGCAAAGACAACAUUGUGAAGGAUUUCAUACUGUGGUACAUUAUAUACAGAAACCAAUACUCUGUACAAAGGUAAGUCUUGUUCCUAAUUUGAGAUAAUAUAAUAAUUAUGAGUGAAGUGAUAUCACUUUGUGAUUUCUAUUUGGGUUAUAGAUUUAGGGAUGGGCUUUCCACCCUGGAUGUCAUUAAUGCCCUGGAACAACACCCUAUUGCAUUCAGACCCUAUAUGUGCUACAGUGUUGACAGUCUAACAUCUGUAUCUCUGGAGGAUGUCUUCAAGCCACAGCUCAGUGAACCUGGUAGCACCAGACGACAAGAAGAAACAAGAAUACUGGGAUACUGGAGAGACUAUCUGCUUGACACUGGAGAUAAAGGAUUGAACAUUAUAUUUUAUUGUUGUUGAUAACAAAUUUUGUGAUAUUUUUUUGUUUUUUGUUUAAUCUUUUCAGAACAAGAAACAGGAGUCUCCCUCCAGAACAUUUUGAUGUUUGCCACGGGAUUAGAUUCACUGCCUCCUUCAACAAUUGUGCCACAGCCCAGACUCAUUUUUGAAAGGUCUUCUAAAUUUCCCAUUGCAAGCACCUGUGCCAACACAAUCAAAUUGCCAGUGUCAAAAAGCUAUGAUGAGUUCAAAAAUGCAAUGGAUUUUGGAAUUCAAAACUCACCUGGUUUCAGAUUGCGCUGAUUAGUAUUAAUGUACGGAAAGCCAGUUUUUGCCACUGAACAAAUUUUUUUUUUUUUUUAAAGGUUAUUGCAAGUUUUCAUCUCAGAAUUGCAUGAAACAAACACAAUUUUAUUUCUGACUUUAUAACUUCUGAGGAAAACUUCAGAAUUCUAAGAUUUUUGUUAAGAAAGCUUUAGGGUGGCAGGAUCAAUGAUGAUAAUUAUUUUAUUUAUAGUCUGUAAGACUUAUUUGAGUUCAUAUAUAGGUUAUUCACUAAAAUAUAUAAUUAAAAUUGUUUGUGGAGCUGAA
Molecule: non-coding RNA, 2224 nt
Organism: Danio rerio (zebrafish)
Lineage: Eukaryota; Metazoa; Chordata; Actinopteri; Cypriniformes; Danionidae
Source: RefSeq, a predicted model, not a curated record